UGCAGGAGGCAUCGGCGGGCCCGGUGGGGCAGCGGAGGGAGCCCUAGGCCAUCCAGCGGCGGAGGUGUGGUGGCAGUGGCCAUCCAGCGGCAGAGAGACCCCUAGGCCCCAGGAUGCCUUCCAGCGACGGCAGCACGGCCUAGCGGCAGCGGCGGAAUUCAGGCGAGGCGGCCUUGUGGCCGCAUUCUUUUAUCUUUAAAUUACUCUUUAAAUUACUAUCUUUAAAUUACUAUCUUUAAAUAUCUCAGCCCAUAGCAAGGGAGUGGGGGUGAGAUAAAGGGACUGGUUUGAGUAGGGGACACAGUCCAGCUAGACAGUGAGGGUGCGGGGUCCCCCCUUAGGUAUCCCCAGGCUGACCACCUCUCAUUAUUGCAGAAGGCAUCGUCCCCCUACACGCUAGCUCAGGAUGCCACCCAAAAAAGGUCAAGGUGGCCCAAAAGGGAAGGGAAGGGCCCCCAGGGCAGAGGGUAGACACCCACCCCCUGCGGCGGAGGAUGGGAGACAGGGGGCAGGCAUACCAUGGACCACUAUACUGGCUAGGUUAGAAGCCCUGGAGAGGGGCCCUGCCCAGCCGGCAAUGGGGAGGACAAGGGAACCACCCCCCAAGCGGCCCCGGGAGAAAGUGCAGCGUCUAGUUGGCGGGGCUAAUGCUGCGGCUAUUACUUCUAUCUUAGCGCGACUGGAUGCGCUAGAGGCAGGGCCUAGUAGGGCCGCAGCAAGACCGCCCGGAGCAGAAGCAGGAACAGCGUUGUCUUCGCAUGCAGCCCCAGGACCACAGCCCAUGCAUGGGCCUUCAGCGGACAACAUAGGGGAUUUUCUUCUCUGGUGACAUUCUUAAACUUUGAACUCUGAGCUCUAACAGCUUGUUUCCAAUCAUAAGGGGCAUAGGCGUUCCAUAUAUGGAGUCUUAUUAUAUCGACCCUCCAGUACAGCUGAUGGGAGGACAUCACACCUAAUCCAGGCAAGAUCUAAAGUAUUCCUUGGCAGCAAAUUCAACUAUGCAAAUCUGAACACUGAUUUCAUCAAGACCAUGGAUUUACAGUGCAAUCCAACAGUGGUCUACUCAGAAGCAAGCCCUAUCAAGUUCAAUUGGACCUACUGCCAGAUAAAAACAAAUGAAUCUACCUUAUACUGACUUAGGCCAUUUGUUACCAUCUAGUUCAGUACUGAUGACAUGGACUAGCAUUGGCUCUCCAGGACUCCAGCUGGCAAAAAGAAAGAAACCAAAAACUUGUGUUCAUCACGAAAUGUGUAUCAAAGGUAGAACUGCAACAUCU
This is a long non-coding RNA of Rhineura floridana, 1277 nucleotides long. RefSeq lists it as uncharacterized. NCBI's taxonomy places the organism in Eukaryota, Metazoa, Chordata, Lepidosauria, Squamata, Rhineuridae. The transcript is spliced from 7 exons. The record is from RefSeq and is a predicted model, not a curated record.